GCAAACCCUAGCCAUCACUCACACUGCAUUACGCUCCUCUCUUCUGUCCUUUGCUCCUCUCCUCUCCUCUCUUCGACUCUAUCUCUCUCAAACAAUUUCCUCUCACGAAAUCAUCACUGCCGACCUGCCACCACCACCUCCUACCGCUGAGCCCCUCACCGACAACGCUCAGAUCCUCCCCUCUCAAUCUCGACGUCACAAAAGCAGUGAGUCGUCGCCGUCUUUGCCAUCAGAGCAUCCAAGCCUCUGCGCCACUUCUCAGUCUUCGUCGUCUUCGCCGUUAGAGUGUCCGAGCCUCUACGCCGCUUCUCAGCCGUCGCCGAUCUUCACCGAUCUCCGACCCUCUUUUCUUCCUUCUGAUAGGAUUCAAGUAAAUUGGAAUCUACAUCACUACCAUUACAACUAUUACAAGAUGAAGAAGGCUUGAGAAUUAUUGAGAAUUACGUUUCUUUGAUAUG
This is a non-coding RNA of Arachis ipaensis, 458 nucleotides long. Lineage: Eukaryota; Viridiplantae; Streptophyta; Magnoliopsida; Fabales; Fabaceae. The record is from RefSeq and is a predicted model, not a curated record.